UGCAAGUCGAACGAGUUCUCGUUGAUGAUCGGUGCUUGCACCGAGAUUCAACAUGGAACGAGUGGCGGACGGGUGAGUAACACGUGGGUAACCUGCCCUUAAGUGGGGGAUAACAUUUGGAAACAGAUGCUAAUACCGCAUAGAUCCAAGAACCGCAUGGUUCUUGGCUGAAAGAUGGCGUAAGCUAUCGCUUUUGGAUGGACCCGCGGCGUAUUAGCUAGUUGGUGAGGUAAUGGCUCACCAAGGCGAUGAUACGUAGCCGAACUGAGAGGUUGAUCGGCCACAUUGGGACUGAGACACGGCCCAAACUCCUACGGGAGGCAGCAGUAGGGAAUCUUCCACAAUGGACGCAAGUCUGAUGGAGCAACGCCGCGUGAGUGAAGAAGGCUUUCGGGUCGUAAAACUCUGUUGUUGGAGAAGAAUGGUCGGCAGAGUAACUGUUGUCGGCGUGACGGUAUCCAACCAGAAAGCCACGGCUAACUACGUGCCAGCAGCCGCGGUAAUACGUAGGUGGCAAGCGUUAUCCGGAUUUAUUGGGCGUAAAGCGAGCGCAGGCGGUUUUUUAAGUCUGAUGUGAAAGCCCUCGGCUUAACCGAGGAAGCGCAUCGGAAACUGGGAAACUUGAGUGCAGAAGAGGACAGUGGAACUCCAUGUGUAGCGGUGAAAUGCGUAGAUAUAUGGAAGAACACCAGUGGCGAAAGGCGGCUGUCUGGUCUGUAACUGACGCUGAGGCUCGAAAGCAUGGGUAGCGAACAGGAUUAGAUACCCUGGUAGUCCAUGCCGUAAACGAUGAAUGCUAGGUGUUGGAGGGUUUCCGCUCUUCAGUGCCGCAGCUAACGCAUUAAGCAUUCCGCCUGGGGAGUACGACCGCAAGGUUGAAACUCAAAGGAAUUGACGGGGGCCCGCACAAGCGGUGGAGCAUGUGGUUUAAUUCGAAGCAACGCGAAGAACCUUACCAGGUCUUGACAUCUUUUGAUCACCUGAGAGAUCAGGUUUCCCCUUCGGGGGCAAAAUGACAGGUGGUGCAUGGUUGUCGUCAGCUCGUGUCGUGAGAUGUUGGGUUAAGUCCCGCAACGAGCGCAACCCUUAUGACUAGUUGCCAGCAUUUAGUUGGGCACUCUAGUAAGACUGCCGGUGACAAACCGGAGGAAGGUGGGGAUGACGUCAAAUCAUCAUGCCCCUUAUGACCUGGGCUACACACGUGCUACAAUGGAUGGUACAACGAGUUGCGAGACCGCGAGGUCAAGCUAAUCUCUUAAAGCCAUUCUCAGUUCGGACUGUAGGCUGCAACUCGCCUACACGAAGUCGGAAUCGCUAGUAAUCGCGGAUCAGCACGCCGCGGUGAAUACGUUCCCGGGCCUUGUACACACCGCCCGUCACACCAUGAGAGUUUGUAACACCCGAAGCCGGUGGCGUAACCCUUUUAGGGAGCGAG
This 1435-nucleotide ribosomal RNA is filed under the name Lacticaseibacillus paracasei. RNAcentral describes it as "bacterial SSU rRNA". It matches the Rfam family "Bacterial small subunit ribosomal RNA". Lineage: Bacteria; Bacillati; Bacillota; Bacilli; Lactobacillales; Lactobacillaceae. The record is from RNAcentral.